Non-coding RNA from Hydrogenobaculum sp. Y04AAS1, 73 nucleotides. The record is from Rfam. NCBI's taxonomy places the organism in Bacteria, Pseudomonadati, Aquificota, Aquificia, Aquificales, Aquificaceae.
GGCGGUAUAGCUCAGGGGCUAGAGCGGAGAUCUCAUAAGUCUUAGGUCGGAGGUUCGAAUCCUCCUACCGCCA